UAUGCGACAUGGAUUCGGGUUCUUAACUCUGAUAAAACUCCGGGUGGAUCCAGUGAAAUUAUUGCACCUGCUCCAGAAGGGAAUUAUGCGGGGAGAAAAAAAGAGUCAGUGUGUGAAAUUGGAUAUUUUGAAGCGGCAGAGGGGAGGAAGAAUCUCCCCAGUGCGCGCCUCUGGGUACCCUCCUACCACCGACAUCAAAAGAAGCGAGCCGGUCAGUCAGAUAUAACGCUUGAUGAACAGAACACAGACCGAAGAUGACAAGAGAGAAGUUUACAAGGAGGUUUUACACGACAUAAGAGAUUUUAUUCACCACCAGCGACAACACAGUCUCCCUCUCGUCCCAGCGUGUCCAAGCACUGACUGUCGGACCGAUGCGUUUUACGCAUAUCCUUUUCAGUCUUCAUCUCCACAGUGGAUCAGCUGUUGCUGGCCAGAGCUGAAGGUGACUUGCUGGCUGGGCCAACGGCUGCAACACAGGACAUGGGUCCUGCCUCUCCUCCCCGCUCGUGUCUUGUGUUGCAGCCAGUGGAGCUGCCUGUCUGCCCACUGAUGACGCGUGAGCUCCAGGAGUGGACGGAUCUUAUCAGCCGUGGACCUGCCGACACAGCUCCCCAUCUUACCGCUAGCUUGAGCCUAAUCACUGUCAUUCUGUGUAGUUAUCCCAUAUCUAAAUAUGUUCUCUCCCACAGUUUAAAGCAAAUAAACUACUUCAGCAGAAA
Molecule: long non-coding RNA, 719 nt
Organism: Maylandia zebra (zebra mbuna)
Lineage: Eukaryota; Metazoa; Chordata; Actinopteri; Cichliformes; Cichlidae
Source: RefSeq, a predicted model, not a curated record